Molecule: ribosomal RNA, 468 nt
Filed under: uncultured bacterium
Lineage: Bacteria
Description: partial 16S ribosomal RNA
Rfam family: Bacterial small subunit ribosomal RNA
Source: RNAcentral
GACGAACGCUGGCGGCGUGCUUAACACAUGCAAGUCGAACGGAAAGGCCCUGCUUUUGUGGGGUGCUCGAGUGGCGCACGGGUGAGUAACACGUGAGUAACCUGCCCUUGCCUUUGGGAUAUCUUCAGGAAACUGGGGCUAAUACCGGAUAGGAGCUCCUGCUGCAUGGUGGGGGUUGGAAAGUUUCGGCGGUUGGGGAUGGACUCGCGGCUUAUCAGCCUGUUGGUGGGGUAGUGGCUUACCAAGGCUUUGACGGGUAGCCGGCCGGAGAGGGGGACCGGCCACCUGGCGACUGUGAUACGGCCCAGACUCCUACGGGAGGCAGCAGUGGGGAAUAUUGCACAAUGGGCCGAAGCCUGAUGCAGCAACGCCGCGUGCGGGAUGACGGCCUUCGGGUUGUAAACCGCUUUCGCCUGUGACGAAGCGUGAGUGACGGUAAUGGGUAAAGAAGCACCGGCUAACUACGUG